RNAcentral lists this non-coding RNA (36 nucleotides) under unclassified sequences. Its description in RNAcentral is "DUF805b RNA". It matches the Rfam family "DUF805b RNA". Rfam says of the family: Bacteroidetes, Chlorobi (1 example), Proteobacteria. Lineage (Flavobacteria) The record is from RNAcentral.
AAGGUGAAUCCCGAAAAGCCUGUAAUAGAGUAGGGA